UAACAGCUGAAAUAGCAGGAAAUAAUACAGUUAAAGAGCAGAUUGUAGAAGAAAGAAACCCCUGGGUUAAACUGGUCUGUCUACUGCAUAAUGCUGAACUCUAACAUGUGUCCUAAGGGAAGGACCUGAUUGGUGUCCAGAACCUGCUGAAGAAGCACCAGGCUCUGCAGGCUGAGAUCACAGGUCAUGAACCUCGCAUCAAGGCUGUCACCCAGAAAGGAGAGACCAUGGUGGAAGAAGGUCACUUCGCUGGUGAGGAAGUGAAGACUAAACUGUGGGAGCUUCAUGGACGUUGGGACACGCUGAAGGCCAAGGCGUCCCAGAGGAGGCAGGACCUGGAGGACUCUCUGCAGGCCCAGCAGUACUUUGCGGAUGCUAAUGAGGCCGAGUCCUGGAUGAGGGAGAAGGAGCCCAUCGUUGGAAGUCCAGACUAAGGGAAAGACGAGGACUUGGCCGAGGCUCUCCUGAAGAAGCACGAGGCCCUGAUGUCGGACCUGUCGGCUUACGGCAGCAGCAUCCAGGCCCUGAAGGAGCAGGCCCAGUCCUGCAGGCAACAAGGUGAUCAGCAGGUGCUUUUGUCCUGCAGGACCUGAAGGCCAACGAGUCCCGCCUGAGGGACAUCAACAAGGUGGCAUCUGAACUGGAGUCAGAAGGUCUGAUGGCUGAGGAGGCUCCUAUGGUUCAGGCUCAGGUGAGCGUCACCUGUCUGCAGCAGCUGGUCCCUCUCACUUCCUGGUUUAACUCUGCUCGUCUCUGUUUGUAGCAACAAGAACAUCUGGGUUCUGCUCCUGGAAAGGAUGAAGCCGACUCUAACACGGCGUCACCCUGGAAGACCGUACGGUUGGGCGUUCAGACGACGGCUAACUUUAAUUCCAUCAAGGUAAGAGGAAGCUCUUCCCUUCCUGUCUGAGCGAUCCGUCUCCAGGUUUCUUCGUCCGGCGUCCAGCCCGCUGGCGUCCACCUUCAUCUCACCUUCAUCUCAUCUCACUUCAUUUAUAGUGCAAUACUUUCACAUUAUCAUUUUCCCACACUUCUGUAUACCUGUAUUUUGUUGUUUUUCAAUAAAGAAUGACAAAUUAUUUAAGUUUGGUUUUUGUUGCACACAAAUAUAUAUCUGUAAAAAAAUAUCUACAAAGCUAAUGUUUACAUAACAAGUAUGAUUGGGUUUUGCAAUACGGCACUCAAGUUUAUUUUAGUAAGAUUUUCAAACCAAGUAAAGUUAGUAAAGAACACAUUUCUAUUGUCUGCUAAGAAACUGUUGGGAUUUAAAAUGGGCCUGUUGUACAAAUAACUUGUAAAUGAUUAUUCCUCACUUUUGUCUUAACCAAAGAAAUUCCAGUAAUUGAGCAAAAACAUUUAUUUUUAACACUACAUUUUAUAAAACAGGGCGCAAAGUGUCGGCACAUGUAUGUAAGUCGAUGGUCCGCCCCAACCAAACCAAGAGACACAGACGUCAGGGAGGCCAAGGUUGUCUCUGCAGCUCUCUGGGCACCACGCCUCACUCAGCUGUCUUCAAUGAUCCAAAUGGCUAUGGAGGAAAAAAUAACAGGUUUGGCCUAGCUGUUUAAAGUACAAAACCAUUCAUGAAGUGGUCAAGACAAGUACUUGGAACUUACACGCUGCGUUGUGUAGCUGACGUUGGAGACACACAGGCUGCCAUGGUGACCUUUUAAUAGAUCUAAGAAAAAAAUGUAAUAAAAGAAUGAAACUUAAAAACUCCCAGACCUCAUGUCAUAUUUACUCAUCAGCUAUGGCUGAUUUGUUUGGAUCACAGUGAGUUACACUAAUUCUAAUAUAUUUUUAUUUCUAUUAUACAUACAUACUUUUUAACUGUUAUUUUCACAUGACUGUUAUCAGGCUCUCUUGUUCUGGUUCUGAUGAUAACUCUGUGUCUUCCAGUAAGUUAUCUUGUGCUUACUUCAUCUGUAUAAUGUCUCUUUACUUUUGGUAAAUUGUACUGAGUCCAGAAUAAAGGCUAGUUGGCUGUACAAGAUACAAACAAGUAUUACGUUUUGGAAAUAUAUGAAACACCGCCAGCAUCUGUUAGAGCCUGUGGCGGGGUGCUGAGGGCCGGCUCCAGCCCAGGAAUGAGCUCUACACGCCGGCCGGGAGGGUUUGAAACACCGCCAUCCUCUCCUCUGCUGGCUGUAAAUUCUGUUAUGGUUACCGGUGCUUGUGUUGCAAUGUGAAACGCUUGGUCUCAGAUUUUGUAAGAAAGAUAAUAAAAUGUCCCCCCAAAAUACGA
Molecule: non-coding RNA, 2245 nt
Organism: Nothobranchius furzeri (turquoise killifish)
Lineage: Eukaryota; Metazoa; Chordata; Actinopteri; Cyprinodontiformes; Nothobranchiidae
Source: RefSeq, a predicted model, not a curated record